GUGCCAGCCGCUGCGGUAAUACGAAGGGGGCUAGCGUUGCUCGGAAUGACUGGGCGUAAAGGGCGUGUAGGCGGUUUGUACAGUCAGAUGUGAAAUCCCCGGGCUUAACCUGGGAGCUGCAUUUGAGACGUGCAGACUAGAGUGUGAGAGAGGGUUGUGGAAUUCCCAGUGUAGAGGUGAAAUUCGUAGAUAUUGGGAAGAACACCGGUGGCGAAGGCGGCAACCUGGCUCAUUACUGACGCUGAGGCGCGAAAGCGUGGGGGAGCAAAACAGGAUUAAGAUAACCCUGGUAAGUCCAACGCUGUAAAACGAUGUGUGCU
This 320-nucleotide ribosomal RNA is filed under the name uncultured Acetobacter sp. RNAcentral describes it as "bacterial SSU rRNA". It matches the Rfam family "Bacterial small subunit ribosomal RNA", at positions 505 to 817 of the family's 1533-position model. Lineage: Bacteria; Pseudomonadati; Pseudomonadota; Alphaproteobacteria; Acetobacterales; Acetobacteraceae. The record is from RNAcentral.